UCCAGACUCCUACGGGAGGCAGCAGUGGGGGAUAUUGCACAAUGGGGGGAACCCUGAUGCAGCGACGCCGCGUGGGUGGAGGAGCGUUUCGGCGCGUAAAGCCCUCUCGGCAGGGAAGAAGGAGGACGGUACCUGACUAAGAAGCCCCGGCUAACUACGUGCCAGCAGCCGCGGUAAUACGUAGGGGGCAAGCGUUAUCCGGAUUUACUGGGUGUAAAGGGAGCGUAGACGGCGAUGCAAGCCAGAUGUGAAAGCCCGGGGCUCAACCCCGGGACUGCAUUUGGAACUGUGUGGCUGGAGUGUCGGAGAGGCAGGCGGAAUUCCUAGUGUAGCGGUGAAAUGCGUAGAUAUUAGGAGGAACACCAGUGGCGAAGGCGGCCUGCUGGACGAUGACUGACGUUGAGGCUCGAAAGCGUGGGGAGCAAACAGGAUUAGAUACCCUAGUA
This 446-nucleotide ribosomal RNA is filed under the name uncultured bacterium. RNAcentral describes it as "bacterial SSU rRNA". It matches the Rfam family "Bacterial small subunit ribosomal RNA", at positions 330 to 792 of the family's 1533-position model. The record is from RNAcentral.